UAACAGCUCUCGCGCUUUGUUCACAAUUCUUCUUUCUAUUCCUCGAACCAGUUUGUUGUUUGUUUCCCAUUUUUCAUUGCUCCAAGAAGUUAGAAGCUUUCUUUGGCCAUCUCCUCAAGUCGGUUCGUCGUCGGGAAUGUCAGCCCUCCGGGAACGGUCUCUCCACAUCGCCGAUUUGCAGGCGUGGAUGGACAAGGCGUACUUCGUUAAUGACUGCUUCCCAGAGCUUAAGGGAGAGAUUGUGAGUGCAAAGUUAAUUGUUCAGAAAUCGGGUUACUGCUAUGGUUUUCUGGAGUUUAGGUCUCACAAGGUAGCAAAGCUUGUUCUGGAGACAUACAAUGGCAAGCAGAUGCCCAAGGCGUGUCAACAUUUCCGUCUCAAUUGGAGCAGGUCCACGAGGGCAUUGCAAACUACAGAUGCUUCUCAAGGAGGGAAUUACAAGCUUGUAGUUGCUGGGGAUCUGCCGAAGGAUGUUACUGCUGAAGAACUGCAGCAGCACUUUAGAACCUAUUACCCUUCAGUUAAGGAUGCUGAAGUUCACACCAGUGAAUCCCAGGGGUUGUAUGGUGUUAUCACAUUUGCAAAAGAGCAUGAAAGGCAUCUGGCCUUAAUUCAUAUGGACAUGCAAUGUUUUAGGAGGAAAGAAGACGGCAAACCGCAUCAUUUCUUCUAUAAAGACACAGCUGCUGAGUACCAGAGAGCUGCCUACCCAAGUACCCAUCCAGAGGAUGCACAUCCAAAUGGUUCAACAAUUUACAUUCAAAACUUGGAAAAGGAUGUUACCGAAGGGUUCUUGCUACGGAAAUUUUCCCCCUAUGGUGAGGUUUCUAAAGUCACCAUAAGGGGAUGUGCUCUGAUUCAGUUUGUUGAUAGAUCGAGUGGCGAUAUAGCAUUGCUUCACAUGAAUGAUGACCUCAUUCAGCAGAAUAGCUUACUUACACUGACCAUGAGAAAAUUAAAUGAUGAAUCUGUUCCAGUAGCUUCAUCUGUUGAAGACUUCAAGGAACUAACAGAGCUUAAGGAAUUAACCCAUGAAGAUGAAAGAUCAGUAUCUGGGUUCAAAGAGUGUGAAGUCGAUUCGUCCUCGUUGGAAAUGGCAGACCGCCGUUCCCCGUCUCUCCACAUCGCUGAUUUGCAGGCCUGGAUGGACAAGCCCUACUUGCGGGACGAGUGCUUCCCAAAGUUUCCGGGAGAGGUUAUGAGUGCUAGCAUUUUUGUGGAGAAAUGUGGUUAUCGCUAUGGUUUUCUGGAGUUUAGGUCUCCUGAGGUAGCAGAGCUUGUACGCAAGACGUACAAUGGCAAGAGGAUGCCCAAGGCGUGUCAAUAUUUCCGUCUCAAUAGGAACAGGUCCAAGAGACCACCGGGAACUAUGGCUGCACCUGAAGAAGGGAAUUACAAGCUUGUAGUUGAUGGGGAUUUGCCGAAGGAUGUUACUGCUGAAGAACUGCAGCAGCACUUUAGAACCUAUUACCCUUCAGUUAAGGAUGCUGAAGUUCACACCAGUGAAUCCCAGGGGUUGUAUGGUGUUAUUACCUUUGCAAAGGAGCAUGAAAGGGAUCUAGCAUCAAUUCAUAUGGCCAGUCAAUGUUUUAGGAGGACAGAAGACGGCAAACCGCAUCAUUUCUUCUAUAAAGAUACAGCUGCUGAGUACCAGAGAGCUGCCUACCCAAGUACCCAUCCAGAGGAUGCACAUCCAAAUGGUUCAAAAAUUUACAUUCAAAACUUGGAAAUGGAUGUCACUAAAGGGUUCUUGCUACGGAAAUUUUCUCCCUAUGGUGAGGUUUCUAAAAUCACCAUAAGGGGAUGUGCUCUGAUUCAGUUUGUUGAUAGAUCGAGUGCUGAUAAAGCAUUGCUUCACAUGAAUGAUGACCUCAUUCUGCAGAAUAGCUUACUUCCACUGACUGUGAGAAAAUCAAAUGAUGAAUCUGUUCCAGUAGCUUCAUCUGUUGAAGAUCUUAAGGAAUUAACCCAUGAAGAUGAAAGAUCAGUAUCUGGGUUCAGAGCGUGUGAGGAGGAGUCCACAGAUGAAAAAAUAACAGAGGAGAGGGAGCAAGAAAAUGAUGAAUCUGUUCCAGUAGCUUCAGCUGUAGAAGAUCUUGAGGAACUAACACAUGGAGAAUCACCGAAAGACCUUAAGGAAUUAACCCAUGACGAUGAGGGAUCAGUAUCUGGGUUUAGAACGUGUGAGGAGGAGUCCACAGAUGAAAUAACAGACGAGGGGAGGCAAGAAAAUGAUGAAUCUGUUCCAGUAGCUUCAGCUGUAGAAGAUCUUGAGGAACUAACACAUGGAGAAUCACCGAAAGACCUUAAGGAAUUAACCCAUGACGAUGAAGGAUCAGUAUCUGGGUUUAGAACGUGUGAGGAGGAGUCCACAGAUGAAAUAACAGACGAGGGGAGGCAAGAAAAUGAUGAAUCUGUUCCAGUAGCUUCAUCUGUAGAAGACCUUGAAGAACAAAAACAUGGAGAAUCACCGAAAGACCGUAAGGAAUUAACCCAUGAAGAUGAAGGAUUAGUAUCUGGGUUCAGAACGUGUGAGGAGGAGCCCACAGAUGAAAAAAUAACAGAGGAGGGGAAGCAAGAAGAGGAGGUGAAAAAAGUCAGAAGGGCAAAGACGGAGGUUAGUGAAGGACAGAGACGGAGGAGGAAGGCGAAGAAGGCAAGGCAGAAGGAGAAAAAGAAGCUUCUUAAGCAAACCGAUGAACGGUUGGAGGCAUCAGAAGGGCAGCAAACCAAUGAAGGGUUUGAAGCACCAGAAGGGCAGCAAACCAAUGAAGGCUCGCAAGCAUCAGAAGGGCAUCAAUUGGUCAUCUCUUGGCUGUGGGAGUUGUAUGCGAGCUUGAAGCACUACUUGUUCGGCUGCUAAGGCCAGGGGAAGCCAAAUAUGAUGCAGCAAUAGAGGAAAUAAAGAAAAGCAGAGAAAGAUUUGCCAUAAGAGCACAGAACGAAAGCUGAAGAGAAAGAGAAAAAGAAGAGUGCUAGAGAGAAUGAAAGAAAAAAGGCAACUCAAGCUGAAAUUCUAAUGGAGCCUGAUUUCACUGCAGUACACAAAGCAAACCAAGGUAAAAACCCGUCCCUAUGCCUCUUUUGAAAUGCAGUAAGAGAAUGAUGCAGCCUUUGAUGUGGGUGCUUGUUACAUUCUGGUUAUCGUUUUCUUGUCGACAUACGCUUCAAAGGUAAUUUGACAGAUUUCAUUGAGACAUUUCCAUACUAUUUAUUCUAUAUAGCCAAUUUUUUGGAUGUGACAUUUGACUGGUCAUGUAUGAGUUUGUUUGUAUGCUGCAGUGAUUUACACAGCCUGCCUAAACAGCUGGUACAAGUACAAUAUCAUUUGAAUUCCUGUGCAUUUUGGUUGCUGUUUUAUUUUAGUGUGCGGCUUUAGUAUUGUCUGUAGUGGUUAGUGUAUGAUGGUAUCGAGUCCAUUAUCAACAUUUGACCCCAUCUCCUUUUUACCUUUUCUCUGCACGGGGUUUAAUUCAUUUUGCAGAGUCGAAACAGCUGCUAUGUACAUGGAGUUUACUAGAUUCUCAAGGUUUUUCAGGGGUGUUUGCAGAACUUCAGCAUGCAAGUAAAAGGUUUGCACUCUACUUUCCUGAUGUUCUUUUUUAGUGCAUUGAUCUUAAUUAUGGUUGAUGUCUAUAGUUACUGGUAGAGCUUAAACUAGAGUCGUCUUUGCUACUUCUGUUAUGAGAUUGGUUAUAUCCAACUUUUACUUUCAACACAUUGUUGACUUAAUUUCAACGUAAUCAGAGUCCAAGUGUUAUGUUGUGACUUAGUUUAUUGUUCACUUUCAUGUAUGCCAUUUUGCCUUCGUGUGACCUUACCGGUUGAGGAUCGAAGUUGCCUUGUUUCUCUGAACAAUUUGAGGCCAGUUGCUUGCUUUUCCUAUUCAAGUGAUGUUAGGGAAAGGGAUGACAGCCUUGUAAUUAAGGAUUUAAAUCCAAGCCAGGUUUGUUUUACUGGAAGUUUAUUUUAUAUUAUUGUAAGCUCUUUGUUCAUAAGCUACCUGGGUGUUGACA
This is an RNA transcript of Rosa rugosa (rugosa rose), 4016 nucleotides long. RefSeq lists it as uncharacterized. The record is from RefSeq and is a predicted model, not a curated record. NCBI's taxonomy places the organism in Eukaryota, Viridiplantae, Streptophyta, Magnoliopsida, Rosales, Rosaceae. The transcript has 15 exons.